GUUGUCUUUUCGUUGCACUUGCUUCCUUCUCGCACGACCUACUUCCUUCUAGUACGAAUCCUUCAGCUUCCAUUCCAUUGAAUCAUCCAAAACCUUGAUUCUCCUUCCUUCGGCCGUCCCCCAAUGACUCCGUAGAUAUGCAGCGACUAGCUAAGAUUCCAUGAUUAUUCAUUUGGUGGAAUUGGUUGUUAGAGAUACA
RNAcentral lists this long non-coding RNA (199 nucleotides) under Hordeum vulgare. RNAcentral describes it as "long non-coding RNA (HVUL_LNC007310)". Lineage: Eukaryota; Viridiplantae; Streptophyta; Magnoliopsida; Poales; Poaceae. The record is from RNAcentral.